GGAGACGGUGAGGCAAGGUGAACCAGUUGUCCUCCCCUUUCAUAGUGCAAUGACUCGACUUGCUCACAAAGAAGAGGAAGAACAAAUCAGUGACAAUAGACAGUGACGAGUGCAGUUGCUGACUCGCUCCGCAGCAGCAUCGAACAGGCGGUUUAAAGAUUUCCACUGCACUACGCUGUGAACGAAUCGCAGUGAGAAUCAUCUUUAAUAAUGGGGUGCAGGUGCCAGGGAGAGAAAUAGUGAGACAGACUCGGUGUGACUUUAGUUUGGAGUUUGGUAACAGUUGCCUCACGAAGGGAGGACCGAUUUAGUCACGUAGUGGGAGUGUUGAAUGUUCAAGCAGGAUUUCCAAAGCUGGUAAGGUACGAUGUCGAAACGAAAUAAAUAAGGAGAGAGAGAGAUAAAAUAAAACAAAAGAGGCUAUGAACGGAACAUCAAGACCGGGGCUCAGCAUCACUACAGUUCACGGAGAUCCUAUGUGAGGAAGAGGCAGCAUCCUACACGUUCCCACUCGUUCUGAAAAUAGAGACCGCAACAUACACAUUACACAAUCUCCAAACCCUGGCAGCUGAUCAGUCUCUCGUGUAUGGAUUUUCGAAGAGGAAGGAGGUGACUUCAGCGCCCGUCGCUCCCUGAAGAAAACGGAGGCUGGAAUCGGAAGACGAAUUGUCAGGCCAGCGCUACUACGUCAACCGAAGCAAGCGAGCGAGAGAACUGAGUUAGGCGUCUCGUUACGCACAAACUAUGGAAUAAACUCGGCAUGCAUGUACAGGUAAAUCCUCAAGGCAGUAGUGAGCAGCGACCACAAAAGGCGUGAGUAAGAAACGUGUUAUUUCGGCGAAAACGGACAGAGGGACAGAGUGGAGGACGCGUUAGUAAUGAAGGGAAAAAUCAAGGGAAAUGAAAUGAUAACA
RNAcentral lists this long non-coding RNA (914 nucleotides) under Penaeus japonicus. RNAcentral's name for it is "uncharacterized LOC122253499". The record is from RNAcentral. Lineage: Eukaryota; Metazoa; Arthropoda; Malacostraca; Decapoda; Penaeidae.